This 7218-nucleotide unclassified non-coding RNA is filed under the name Megachile rotundata (alfalfa leafcutting bee). Its description in RNAcentral is "synaptic vesicle glycoprotein 2B-like, transcript variant X5". The record is from RNAcentral. Lineage: Eukaryota; Metazoa; Arthropoda; Insecta; Hymenoptera; Megachilidae.
CUUUAAUAAAAGUUUAGAUUUGGAAGAUCUUUUCUAUGAGCCAUUCUACAAACACUCGAGUUUGACGUCGAAGGGGUCGAGGGGUGACUCAGUGGUACCUGCUAUAUAGGGCGAAGGUGAUUUUAACGGCUCGUAGUUGUUCCUUCAAUCGAUACACGCGCAGUGUUGUUUGCUUCACAGUAGCGAAAAUGUUAGUGAGCUCGUUGUUCUCUGCGAGCAUCCAAAAAACGUUUUUGGACAAAGUGUGAAAUGCCCUAAAAUCACAUUGCCGCGAUAUAUGAUUUGUGAAGCGAUAAGAAUAGAUCGUAAAAUAAAAUAGUGUCGCUGAAAACUCGAGAAUUUCCGUGUCCGCGCUUUGCCGUCCGUUCAUUGAUUUCCAAGAAAACAUGCCGCGCGCAAAAAGAACCCUUCAAUUCUAACGUGAUUGUUGUGCCAGCAAAAACGAUAUCGUAAAAGUGCGUAUUCCUAUCAAACGAUCGUAGACAAUGUAAUGUUAGUGUUCACGAUUGAAGUCAAUCUCAAACUCGUUCGUCGAUAAUCACCGGUCAGUUGAAGAAGACCUGGUCAUCACGAACGGGGUAACAUUGCGUUAACCGCGAGGUGACUUUUUAAUCGAAUCAUGAUCAUUAAAAUUCUGCUGCAUACGUAAUUCGUUAUCCAAUUCGAAACAAAUGGAUUUGAAUUGUCCACGAAUAACAAUUUCUAUCGAGCUAAUAUCCAAACAUAAUAACAUUAUUAUCACAUCAUGAAAUGAUACGUCGAAGAAUUUAAUACGAAGAGGAACAGUAAUCGAAACUCAUCAGUUCUGGGAACAGCUGUUACCAAGAUUUCUACAGUAGCACAGUGUAACUGAUAUGACAAUGAAAAGUGGAAUCGCAUUUCCAUCGUCAAAACGACAAAAUUAUUGCACCCGGUUAGACGAUAACUGUUCCUCGUAACCAAACUAGACGAACGCCUCGGAUCGAGUAAUGCUAAUUGAGCCAUCUGUAACGACUUCGAAAUCAUUUAGCCGGAAACGAUAAUUCGGAAGGUGUUACGUUUCACGGAAAUCUUCUAUUAACCAGAUGAUUUGUAGCAGUAAUGCCCUCGUCGGAGGAGGAAAGUCAGUGGCUCGUUGGCAGCGGGGGUGGUCUUGCAUCUUCCGGCGGUGGUGCGAUAUCCGGUACUGGAGAACGUACAUUGAACACUAGAGGAGGAUUAUACACUGAAGAGAUGACGACUCAACAGACGAACGCAAACACUGCAGGUGUGAACGCGGCUUCAGCCGAUUCUGCUGAGCACGAUUUGAUCGACUCCACCGCGGAUGCAACACUUUUAGCACAAUUUCACGAGGACGCUAUCAAUCAGGCUGGAGUUGGUUACUUCCAAAUAUUAGCUGCUCUAUGUACAGGCUUGAGUCUCGCAGCAGAUACUGUUGAAUUUUUUGUUGUACCAUAUAUUUUGCCAAGUGCAGAAGUUGAAUUAUGCAUUGAGGACAAUGAAAAAGGAUGGCUCAGUAAUAUUACUCUGAUGGGGCUGGCAUUAGGUGGAUUGUUUUGGGGUGGUUUAGGAGAUAGAAUUGGACGACGCAGAUCAUUAUUAUCUGCAAUGUCUGUUCAUUGUUUAUUUAGUAGUGUUGCUACUUUUAUGCCAACUUAUGGCACAUUUAUGACUGCUAGAUUUUGCUCUGCAAUUGGAGUGGGAGGAACUUUACCAUUGGCAUUUACGUAUCUUGCGGAAUGUUGCCCAAGAUUACGCAGAAGUAGAUGGGUUGGUUUACUUGUUGCGGCAGGAGCAUUAGGAGGCGUAUAUGCAGCUCUUUUAGCAUGGGUAGUUGUUCCUACAACUGGGGAAAUGGUUGUUUUGGAAAAUAAAGAACAUUUCAGUGCUUGGCAUCGCUUCCUUUUACUUUGCAGCCUGCCUGCAUUAUGUUCUACAGCUGGACUCAUCUUUUUACCAGAAAGUCCAAGAUACUUAGUUGAAGUAGGCAGAGAUGUAGAAGCAAUGAUGGUUUAUCAGAAAAUAUAUAAAAAAAAUAAUGCACGAAAAGGUGCAACAGGUGCACAAUAUCAACUUUCUGAAUUAGAGCUUCCUACUAAGAGGCCUCGUGGUUUGGCACCUCCAUCUCCUACUAAUCAUACUAGUGUUUUGGCUGAUAUAAUUUAUUCAAUUGAAAUGUUUUGGAAUUCUUUCUUGGAACUGUUUGUAUCACCGCACUUGCGCGUUACGGUAGUGCUUAUAAUUAUUUGGUCGACCGUAUCGUUUGGACUGUAUGGUCUCAUGAUAUGGUGUCCUGAAUAUCUAAAACUUUUACGCGCUACAGAGUAUAAAGCUCACACUGUACAUAUUUCUGGAAAAGAAUAUAAAGGACAAACAUUUAGCGGAUCUAUAGAGAAUUGUCAAUACAAAGAUUCAACUUUUUUGAACUGCAAAUUCACAAAAAUGGUCUUUAGUCAUGUAGAUUUCGAUAAUUGUACUUUCCAAUCAGUAGAAUUUAGUAGUAUAAAGUCGAGUAAAACUCAUUUUACAGACAGCAUUAUCGUAUACUCGAAAUUUGUGGAUACGGAUUUAUCUGCACAGGUUUUUACGAAUUGUAAACUGGAAAAUAAUACGGAAUUAAGUUUAAGUGGACCCUGUCCGACUCUUGAUUUGGAUUACAAUAUUUAUAUAGAAGAAGCACUACAUGGUCAUCUUGUUGCUCAACUGGCUUUUGUGCCUGCUGCUGCUUUAGCAGGAUUGGCACUCACUGUACUUCAGCGGCCAAAAAUGAUUGGUAUUUCGUUAUUUUCAUCUUCUGUAGCUGCCCUGUGUUUGAUUCUAGUAGGCUCAAAUAGUUCAGCGGUACUUGGCUUCGAAGGCGGUUUUAUAGCAGUUUUUGCUAUUGCUUGGACAUCGCUUACAUUGGUUACGAUUGAGAGCUUCCCUACGCAUUUAAGGUGUACUGGUUUUGGUUUUAUAGCGGCAGCUAUAAGAAUAUGUGGUUUAAUAGGAACAACAACUUAUAAAACUUUAGUUGGCGCACCUUUAAUUGCGCCUGCACUACUAACUGCAUUACCUUUGGUAGUAGCCAGCGUUGUAACAUUCAAGUUACCCCACACUCAUACGGUUUUCUUAUAAAGAUAUUCCGAGUAAGUGAUAAAAAGGAGCAAAGUUGUUGCAAAAAGACGUUUUCAAUUUAUAUUUUAAUGGGUCAUUUAUGAGCUGUGCUAAUCUUUUUACUCAAUAGUUUUAUGACGCGAAAAGUCUUAAGAUACGUUUUGACGAUCGUGGAAUCGAUUUUUAUAACAAAAAAGGGUUGAAUGAAAAUUAUAAGUGGUGUUCUGGACAAGUGCGAAUUUUCAAAUUUGCAAAUUAGACAAAGAUACGUUACAUUUUCCGUUGGAAGUGUAACUUCAUACAAAGUGGAUUAUACUAAACCGGUGCAUGAGAUGAUGAGCCGUGAAGAAUUUGAGAAUUUAAAGCGCACAGAGAUUAAAGUGUAAUCGUCUGAUACGCUAGAAUAUGGAAUUUCUACAAGAUUUUAAUACACAAGUUUCAAGCGUCAACGAAAUUCGUCAUUAUUAGCAGACAAAUUUUAGAACAGACGAAAGACGUACAGAAAUCCAAUGUUUAAGUCAAAUUAUGGAAAUUUUAUGACUUAAAGGUUUUAUCCCAUCUAACUACAACUUCGAAUAUAAGAGUCAAUAUACGACUCGUCCUCCAUGGAGAAAAGUUGCAAAAUACAUAUACAUGUUUGUAAUGCUAUUUUAAUAGGAUAAUGGCAGUGAAGAGUGUCAAUUUUAAUGGAUGUUGAAUGGAUGAUCAUUAUCAUCCAUAUAAUACGGUGUCUUACGGUGUUAAGACAAGAAAAUGACUAAAACUCUGAGAAACCUUGUUUAUUGAAAAAGCAUUUGAACAUCCGAGAUAGAAUACGUGGAAUGUUGUCUAUAGUGCUUAGAUGUUUUUUUCUGUUCAUAAUUAAUCUAGAAAAGUUACGCAUGAUCCUAAAAUUACUACAUUUCAAGCAGAUCGAUGAAAAAAGUUUGCCAAGGACAGUAUCAUAGAAACUUUUGUAUCUACAAAUGCUAUGAAUGCUUUUGCAAGAAAAAUCAAGUACAUGUUCUAAAGAAAUAAAUAGGGAUACCCCGAAUCGAGUUAUAGUAUGCUGUUUGUACUGCAAGACGAAAGUAAAUCAGUAAAAAUAUAUUUAUUAUUUUUGCUUUUUAACGAUUAACUAGCUUGCAAUUCGCUCUAGAUACUAGACUCCGAUAAUCAAGAGGCAUUAUCCGUGUAAUAAGAAAUGUAAAUGCUGCCGUAUAAAUCCUAAAUUUCCAGCUUAAGAUUUGGAAUCGAAAAAUGGAAGCAUACGCUUCAACGUUUAUUAUAAAUCUAAGAGAUUAUCGCCUCUAGUCAAGUUUUGAUCAUCUUUAAGCUUACAAUGCGAUAAAUUUUAAAAAUGCGUUAAACUUUCUAAUACUUAUAAUGACGUAGGAAGUUAUUUUCUACAAGAUCAAGACGAAAGAUCGCAUUGUCAUUUUAUUGUAAAAAUCGCUAUUACAUUUAUGAAAAUUAUGCCAGAAUUUUACUGUCGUUGUGAGUCAAGAAAAACAUCAUGAUGGCAUGCCAAAGUUGGAAAAAAGUACUGGUUCCUCAGAACAAAUAACUAUUUCUAGGCAAUAAGAACGUAAAGUAAGUUUUACGACAUGAUUAUUGAAAUAUCUCAUAAGUUUUACGACAUGAUUAUUGACAUAUCUCAUUCUUAUUAAAACUUAAAAUAUAUUACUAAGUAUUUAAGCAAAUUUCUUAGUCAAGUAAAAGAAGAAAACAAACUGCUGUUGGCAAACUUAAACACAUAAAAAUCUACGUCCCAUGUUUUACUUGGAAUCGGGACCACAAAAUAGCAACUCAUGUAAUAUGUACUUAAUUGGAACACAGAAAAGGAUUUACUGUUCGCAUAUUUCCGUUGAUUGGUCAAGCAAUUUUUAAUGAAAUUUUGGUUUGGUCGCCGGCACAUGUAGUUCCACAAUUAGUGAAUCGUUGCUACAGCAUUAAAAUCAUUGUCGCUCGUAGAUAAUAUACUUUACUCGACAUAUCACUUAUGAGCAAGCACUCUAGAUUGGUAGGAUUUAAUUAGACUAUUGAUUAAACAUGCAUAGAGAUAUGUACCAGGAAUCAUAAGAAGGUAAAGUCCCAAAUCAGUAAAAUAGAAGUGUGUGUGUGUGCAGACAAACCACUUAGUUAUCAAUACCAGUUACAGAGCUUUUUGUUAAUACUAUAAACUCAACUAAUCGAACAUGAUAAAUACUUUGGUUGUACACGGAUUGAUUAUCAGCGGAUCGAGGAAUAAAAACGUAGUAGAUAAAUAAUACUAUAACAAAAUACUCAAAGAAAUUUGUGGAUUGACACUUCGUGCAAUAUUAUAUUUGUAAGUGUAAACAUUAUUUUUAUGUCGAGGAUCUAGUGCACAAAUAUACGAGAUCCUCAUUUUCUGUUAUUAAAAACUGACUGUAUGCAAUUGCUCAGAUUAUUCAAAAUAAUUAGGCGAAUAUUCAGACGUUUUAAUAUUUAGAAAGGUAUGUAGAAAAGUAAUGAAAACAUCCUAAUUAUUUUGCGUAAUAUCUUUUAUAUAGACUGAAGAUACAGAUUGGUUGAUAAUCACCGUGUUUUUUUAUAGAGACUGCUUUCUAACGCUUAAAUCUGUAAACUUUUCCUCCGAGAACAGGAACACAUUACUUGGUGAUAGUAAGAAUGAAUAUGCAAAUAACUAAUUUCUUGAAGAUUUCUGGUUGCACUUUUUGUUAAACAAUGAGAUUUUACUAUAGUUAUUAUUUGAUUCCUAUUUAAAAUAGAAAGUUAUAGAUACCAUAUUCACAUGCAAUACUUUAAUAUCUGCCACAUUAAAUUGAGCAGAUUUAUGAUUGAUCCAUCUUUUGUAUUUAAAACAAAGAGCUAUUCAUUACAUUAUGCAACCAGUACUUAACAAGAAACUAAAUAAAAUUAUUUGUUAAUAUAAUAUAUUAGUGAAAAACAUUACAUAUUCCUGUAAUUGGUUUGAAAAAUUAAUAAGGGUAUUAUAUUAAUGCUUAGAAUAUUGAGUCCAUUUUAUAGAAAACAUUGAUCAUAAGAUAGUAGAAACAUAAUAUCAAGAAGACUUUAUCUGAAACAUUUAUUUUAUGAUUUAAUUAAAAGUGAAUUUUAUUUUUAUUUACUAUUUAAAAGAAUGUGGUCCACCUUUCUUUUUGUUAUGUUUUUUUUAUACAUGAAAGGAACAAUCAAGUUUCAUAUAAUGCUUAGAACAUUAGAAGCAACAAGUACAUAGCUGAAUAAAAUUACGCUUUUAAGAUUGUUCUUCAAAUGUAAUGGACUUUGUUUUUUAAAUAUCUUUUUUCCGAGGGACCUAGAAUAAAAAAAGAGAACGGUUUGACAUUUCGAGCAAAAUACGUACGUAAACAAUGGAUUGGUUAAUUUGUAUUAUAGCAAUACGUAUGUAAAAAUUGUUAAAACGAUUGCGAUUAUAGUUUUAGAUGUGUGUUUAUCUUGCAAUACUUUUAGAUCUUUAUUCUAUAACAAAAUCUGUAUAUAAUUUGUAAGGAAAAUCUGCAAGCUCUUGCAAGUUUUAUAGCAAUAUGUAGUAACUUAUUCGUAAUAUUAAUUGUCAUACUGUUGUUAAUGUCGUACACUGAUAUUCUCAACAAAAAUCAAUCUCUCGAAAAGUUAUUUGAAAUUUUAUCUAGAAUAUCGCAAAAGCCAGAUAAUUUCGAGAGUUUUUAAGCAUUCUGUUUUAUAACAUCGACAAGCAUAGAAAAAUUUAGGGUCAAUUAAAAGAAAAUGCUCUGUUAAAUAACGAGAUUAAAAAAAACUGUAAUACGUCGCUGUGAACAGUUGUAAUUUGAGAACGGACAUGAAUGACCUGCAUAGAUACUAUGUACUUUCCAAUUUCGUAUUUUUAUUCCAUCCUGAUGAUACGAUUAAUUGGAAAAUCUAUAAUCGUGAUAUUUUUUUAUAUGUUUACUCUUUUAUAUUAGCAAACUAUGUGUUUUAGACGAUUUAAUUACCUAUGAUCACUUAUUUGUAUUCAGUGACACAUUAUACUUUAAAUACUUUUCGUAUCGUUGUGAUUAAGAACGGGAAAUUAAUUUUUUCGUGUAUUUCAUUCAAGUAUACAAAGAUAACUUUAACGGCAGUUGAUUGCAGAUGUAACGAACAUUUAAGCUAAAUAACAGAAUGUACCAGUGGAAUAAACAAGAUAAAUUUAUUAUG